RNAcentral lists this ribosomal RNA (478 nucleotides) under uncultured bacterium. RNAcentral describes it as "partial 16S ribosomal RNA". It matches the Rfam family "Bacterial small subunit ribosomal RNA", at positions 28 to 507 of the family's 1533-position model. The record is from RNAcentral.
GACGAACGCUGGUGGCGUGCUUAACACAUGCAAGUCGAACGGGAUUUAGUAAACAGAAGCCUCGGUGGAAGAUUACUAAUGAGAGUGGCGAACGGGUGAGUAACGCGUGAGCAACCUGCCUAUGACAGUGGGAUAGCCUCGGGAAACCGGGAUUAAUACCGCAUAAAAUCGUAGAAACACAUGUUUUAACGGUCAAAGAUUUAUCGGUCAUAGAUGGGCUCGCGUCUGAUUAGCUAGUUGGUGAGAUAACAGCCCACCAAGGCGACGAUCAGUAGCCGGUCUGAGAGGAUGAACGGCCACAUUGGAACUGAGACACGGUCCAAACUCCUACGGGAGGCAGCAGUGGGGAAUAUUGCACAAUGGGGGAAACCCUGAUGCAGCGACGCCGCGUGAACGAAGAAGGUAUUCGUAUCGUAAAGUUCUGUCCUAUGGGAAGAUAAUGACAGUACCAUGGAAGAAAGCGCCGGCUAAAUACGUG